GACGAACGCUGGCGGCGUGCUUAACACAUGCAAGUCGAACGAAGUGGCGAACGGGUGAGUAACGCGUAAUCAACCUGCCCUUCAGUGGGGGACACCAGUUGGAACCGACUGCUAAUACCGCAUACUGAAGGUGGGGUUUUCGUCUGAUUAGUUAGUUGGAGGGGUAACGGGCAACCAAGGCGAUGAUAAGUAGGCGGACUGAGAGGUGGAACGGCCACAUUGGGACUGAGACACGGCCCAGACUCCUACGGGAGGCAGCAGUGGGGAAUCUGCCGAAAUGGACGAAAGUCUGACGGAGCAACGCCGCGGGAGUGAGGACGGCCUUCGGGUUGUAAAGCUCUGUUAAUCGGGACGAGGUACCGGAAUAGAAAGCCACGGCUAACUACGUGCCAGCCGCCGCGGUAAUUC
RNAcentral lists this ribosomal RNA (408 nucleotides) under uncultured bacterium. RNAcentral describes it as "partial 16S ribosomal RNA". It matches the Rfam family "Bacterial small subunit ribosomal RNA", at positions 28 to 526 of the family's 1533-position model. The record is from RNAcentral.